Molecule: ribosomal RNA, 253 nt
Filed under: uncultured bacterium
Lineage: Bacteria
Description: partial 16S ribosomal RNA
Rfam family: Bacterial small subunit ribosomal RNA
Source: RNAcentral
UACGUAGGGGGCUAGCGUUGUCCGGAAUCAUUGGGCGUAAAGCGCGUGUAGGCGGUCCGGUAAGUCCGCUGUGAAAGUCGGGGGCUCAACCCUCGGAUGCCGGUGGAUACUGUCGGGCUUGAGUACGGAAGAGGCGAGUGGAAUUCCUGGUGUAGCGGUGAAAUGCGCAGAUAUCAGGAGGAACACCAAUUGCGAAGGCAGCUCGCUGGGACGUUACUGACGCUGAGGCGCGAAAGCGUGGGGAGCAAACGGG